CCAAUCGAACUCGGAGAUAGCUGGUUCUCCCCGAAAUAGCUUUAGGGCUAGCCUCAUAUUAGAUACCCGGAGGUAAAGCACUGAAUGGCCUAGCGCCCGAGAGGGUAGCGAAGCCUAUCAAACUAAGAAUGCCGGAGUAUUGAUGUAUGGGAGUCAGACAGUGUGAGAUAAAUCUCAUUGUCAAAAGGGAAACAGCCCAGAUCUACAGCUAAGGUCCCAAAUUGUAUCUAAGUGGAAAACGAUGUGGAAAUACGCAGACAACCAGGAUGUUGGCUCAGAAGCAGCCACUCAUUUAAAGAGUGCGUAAUAGCUCACUGGUCGAGCGUCUCUGCGCGGAAAAUUUAACGGGGCUAAGAUACAAACCGAAGCUUAGGCUGCACGAAAGUGCGGGGUAGGGGAGCGUUGUGUAAGCGGAGAAACAGUAGCGUAAGCGGCUGUGGAGUUUACAGAAGUGAGAAUGCCGGAAUGAGUAGCGCGAAUGUGGUGAGAAUCCACAUGGCCGGAAACCUCAGGUUUUUGGAGGAAGGUUCGUCCGCUCCAAGUUAGGCGGGAGCUAAGGUCAGGCCGAAAGGCGUAGCCGAUGCACAGACGGUAGAGAUUCCGUCCCCACCGAAAGAUUUAAGCACAGGGACACUUUUUGAAGGUCGGAGCCAGGUGUUGGUUCUGGUAGAGAUCGAGGGAAAUAUAGUACCGAAGUCCGGCUGGAGAAGAGGCGAGAAAAGCUGUGUGUAUAUCUAAGGUGCCCGUACCGCAAACCGACACAGGUAGGUAGGAAGAAGAUUCUAAGGCCAACGGGAGAAGGGUUGUUAAGGAACUCGGCAAGUUGACCCCGUAACUUCGGAAUAAGGGGUGCUCACGAGAGUGAGCCGCAGAGAAUAGGCCCAGGCAACUGUUUACCAAAAACACAGGUUUGUGCUAAAUCGAAAGAUGACGUAUACGAGCUGACGCCUGCCCGGUGCUGGAAGGUUAAAAGGAGAUGUGCAAGCAUUGAAUUGAAGCCCCAGUGAACGGCGGCCGUAACUAUAACGGUCCUAAGGUAGCGAAAUUCCUUGUCAGGUAAGUUCUGACCCGCAUGAAAGGCGUAAUGAUUUGGGCACUGUCUCAACAGCCCGCCCGGCGAAAUUGUAGUACCGGUGAAGAUGCCGGUUACCCGCGACAAGACGGAAAGACCCCAUGGAGCUUUACUGUAGCCUGAUAUUGGGUUUCGGUGUUGCAUGCACAGGAUAGAUGGGACGCUAGGAAGGCAGUGCUUUGGCAUUGCUGGAGCGGACGUUGGGAUACCAUCCUUGCGACAUUGGAAUUCUAACCUGCGCCUCUGAAUCGAGGCGGGGGACAUUGUCAGGUGGGCAGUUUGACUGGGGCGGUCGCCUCCUAAAAAGUAGCGGAGGCGUUCAAAGGUUCGUUCGAUCUGGACGGAAACCAGAUGAUUGAGUGCAAACGCAUAAACGAGCCUGACUGCGAGACUGACGGGUCGAGCAGAGACGAAAGUCGGAGUUAGUGAUCCGGUGGUAUGUGAGUGGAAAUGCCAUCGCUCAACGGAUAAAAGUUACCCUGGGGAUAACAGGCUGAUCUCCCCCAAGAGUCCACAUCGACGGGGAGGUUUGGCACCUCGAUGUCGGCUCAUCGCAUCCUGGGGCUGAAUUCGGUCCCAAGGGUUUGGCUGUUCGCCAAUUAAAGCGGUACGCGAGCUGGGUUCAGAACGUCGUGAGACAGUUCGGUCCCUAUCUGUCGUGGGCGCAGGAUAUUUGAGGAGCUCUGUCCUUAGUACGAGAGGACCGGGAUGGACGAACCUCUGGUGCACCAGUUGUCACGCCAGUGGCACAGCUGGGCAGCUAUGUUCGGAUCGGAUAAACGCUGAAAGCAUCUAAGCGUGAAGCCGGCCUUAAGAUAAGAUAUCCCACUGAGUCAAUCAGGUAAGACCCCUUGAAGACUACAAGGUUGAUAGGCACACAGUGUAAGCGGAGUGAUCCGUUCAGCUAGCGUGUACUAAUAGGUCGAGGGCUUGACCCC
RNAcentral lists this ribosomal RNA (2010 nucleotides) under human gut metagenome. Its description in RNAcentral is "bacterial LSU rRNA". It matches the Rfam family "Bacterial large subunit ribosomal RNA", at positions 829 to 2925 of the family's 2925-position model. The record is from RNAcentral.